Molecule: ribosomal RNA, 615 nt
Filed under: uncultured bacterium
Lineage: Bacteria
Description: bacterial SSU rRNA
Rfam family: Bacterial small subunit ribosomal RNA
Source: RNAcentral
CCUACGGGAGGCAGCAGUAAGGAAUAUUGGACAAUGGUCGCAAGACUGAUCCAGCCAUGCCGCGUGCAGGAUGACUGCCCUAUGGGUUGUAAACUGCUUUUGUACGGGAAUAAACCCCUCUACGUGUAGAGGGCUGAAUGUACCGUAAGAAUAAGGGUCGGCUAACUUCGUGCCAGCAGCCGCGGUAAGACGAAGGACCCAAGCGUUAUCCGGAUUCAUUGGGUUUAAAGGGUGCGUAGGCGGAUUGAUAAGUCAGUGGUGAAAGCCUGUUGCUUAACAACAGAACUGCCAUUGAUACUGUCUAUCUUGAAUAUGGUUGAUGUGGGCGGAAUAUGACAUGUAGCGGUGAAAUGCUUAGAUAUGUCAUAGAACACCGAUUGCGAAGGCAGCUCACAAAGCCAUUAUUGACGCUGAGGCACGAAAGCGUGGGGAUCAAACAGGAUUAGAUACCCUGGUAGUCCACGCUGUAAACUUUGAUCACUCGCUGUUGGCGAUACACUGUCAGCGGCUAAGCGAAAGCGUUAAGUGAUCCACCUGGGGAGUACGAUCGCAAGAUUGAAACUCAAAGGAAUUGACGGCUUGGAGACGNGCGACGGCGACGACGAGGGGAGGAGG